GAUGAACGCUGGCGGCGUGCCUAAUACAUGCAAGUCGAGCGAACGGACGAGAAGCUUGCUUCUCUGAUGUUAGCGGCGGACGGGUGAGUAACACGUGGAUAACCUACCUAUAAGACUGGGAUAACUUCGGGAAACCGGAGCUAAUACCGGAUAAUAUUUUGAACCGCAUGGUUCAAAAGUGAAAGACGGUCUUGCUGUCACUUAUAGAUGGAUCCGCGCUGCAUUAGCUAGUUGGUAAGGUAACGGCUUACCAAGGCAACGAUGCAUAGCCGACCUGAGAGGGUGAUCGGCCACACUGGAACUGAGACACGGUCCAGACUCCUACGGGAGUCAGCAGUAGGGAAUCUUCCGCAAUGGGCGAAAGCCUGACGGAGCAACGCCGCGUGAGUGAUGAAGGUCUUCGGAUCGUAAAACUCUGUUAUUAGGGAAGAACAUAUGUGUAAGUAACUGUGCACAUCUUGACGGUACCUAAUCAGAAAGCCACGGCUAACUACGUG
This 497-nucleotide ribosomal RNA is filed under the name uncultured bacterium. RNAcentral's name for it is "partial 16S ribosomal RNA". It matches the Rfam family "Bacterial small subunit ribosomal RNA", at positions 28 to 507 of the family's 1533-position model. The record is from RNAcentral.